UAGAGGGAAUAUUGCACAAUGGGGGAAACCCUGAUGCAGCAACGCCGCGUGAGCGAUGAAGGCCUUCGGGUUGUAAAGCUCUGUCUUCUGUGACGAUAAUUGCCGUUUCCCAAGGAGGAAGCCCCGGCUAUCUCCUGGCCAGCAGCCCCGGUAAUAUAAA
RNAcentral lists this ribosomal RNA (160 nucleotides) under uncultured anaerobic bacterium. Its description in RNAcentral is "partial 16S ribosomal RNA". It matches the Rfam family "Bacterial small subunit ribosomal RNA", at positions 353 to 529 of the family's 1533-position model. The record is from RNAcentral.